AUUGAACGCUGGCGGCAGGCCUAACACAUGCAAGUCGAGCGGAGCGCCGGACGGGUGAGUAAUGCCUAGGACUCUGACUGGUAGCGGGGGAUAACGUUCGGUAAUGGGCGCUAAUACUGCUUACUCUUAGCUGAGGCUAGGUCGGAUUCGGGUUUUGGUGGGGUAAAGGCCUACCAAGUCGACGAUCCGUAACUGGUCUGAGAGGAUGAUCAGUCACACUGGAACUGAGAAACGGUCCAGACUCCUACGGGAGGCAGCAGUGGGGAAUAUUGGACAAUGGGCGAAAGCCUGAUGCAGCCAUGCCGCGUGUAUGAAGAAGGUCUUCGGGUUGUAAAGUACUUUAAGUUAGGAGGCGUUACUAGCAGAAGAAGCACCGGCUAACUCCGUGCCAGCAGCCGCGGUAAUAC
Molecule: ribosomal RNA, 407 nt
Filed under: uncultured bacterium
Lineage: Bacteria
Description: partial 16S ribosomal RNA
Rfam family: Bacterial small subunit ribosomal RNA
Source: RNAcentral